This 253-nucleotide ribosomal RNA is filed under the name uncultured bacterium. RNAcentral describes it as "partial 16S ribosomal RNA". It matches the Rfam family "Bacterial small subunit ribosomal RNA", at positions 524 to 776 of the family's 1533-position model. The record is from RNAcentral.
UACAGAGGUCCCGAGCGUUGUUCGGAUUCACUGGGCGUAAAGGGUGCGUAGGUGGUGAGGUAAGUCGGACGUGAAAGCUCCAAGCUCAACUUGGAAAUGGCAUUGGAAACUACCUUGCUAGAGGGUUUGAGGGGGGACUGGAAUACUUGGUGUAGCAGUGAAAUGCGUAGAUAUCAAGUGGAACACCAGUGGCGAAGGCGAGUCCCUGGAAAACUCCUGACACUGAGGCACGAAAGCUAGGGGAGCAAACAGG